This 541-nucleotide ribosomal RNA is filed under the name uncultured Bacteroidota bacterium. Its description in RNAcentral is "bacterial SSU rRNA". It matches the Rfam family "Bacterial small subunit ribosomal RNA", at positions 72 to 611 of the family's 1533-position model. The record is from RNAcentral. Lineage: Bacteria; Pseudomonadati; Bacteroidota.
AUUGGUGCUUGCACCAGAUGACGAGUGGCGAACGGGUGCGUAACGCGUAUACAACCUACCUCUUAUUAAGGAAUAGCUCAGAGAAAUUUGAAUUAAUACCUUAUAAUAUCAUAAAGUCGCAUGGCUUAAUGAUUAAAGAACUUCGAUAAGGGAUGGGUAUGCGUGAUAUUAGCUAGUUGGUAAGGUAACGGCUUACCAAGGCAACGAUAUCUAGGGGGUCUGAGAGGAUGAUCCCCCACACUGGUACUGAGACACGGACCAGACUCCUACGGGAGGCAGCAGUGAGGAAUAUUGGACAAUGGACGAAAGUCUGAUCCAGCCAUGCCGCGUGAAGGAUGAAUGCCCUAUGGGUUGUAAACUUCUUUUAUAUAGGAAGAAACCUCUGGAUUUAUCCAGAGCUGACAUUACUAUACGAAUAAGCAUCGGCUAACUCCGUGCCAGCAGCCGCGGUAAUACGGAGGAUGCAAGCGUUAUCCGGAUUUAUUGGGUUUAAAGGGUCCGUAGGCGGAAUUUUAAGUCAGUGGUGAAAGCCUGCAGCUCA